This 253-nucleotide ribosomal RNA is filed under the name uncultured bacterium. Its description in RNAcentral is "partial 16S ribosomal RNA". It matches the Rfam family "Bacterial small subunit ribosomal RNA", at positions 524 to 776 of the family's 1533-position model. The record is from RNAcentral.
UACGUAGGGUCCGAGCGUUGUCCGGAAUUAUUGGGCGUAAAGAGCUCGUAGGCGGUUUGUCGCGUCUGCUGUGAAAUCUGGAGGCUCAACCUCCAGCCUGCAGUGGGUACGGGCAGACUAGAGUGCGGUAGGGGAGAAUGGAAUUCCUGGUGUAGCGGUGGAAUGCGCAGAUAUCAGGAGGAACACCGAUGGCGAAGGCAGUUCUCUGGGCCGUAACUGACGCUGGGGAGCGAAAGCGUGGGGAGCGAACAGG